Labeo rohita (rohu) is the source of this 1008-nucleotide long non-coding RNA. RefSeq lists it as uncharacterized. The transcript is spliced from 4 exons. Lineage: Eukaryota; Metazoa; Chordata; Actinopteri; Cypriniformes; Cyprinidae. The record is from RefSeq and is a predicted model, not a curated record.
GUUAUUAAAUGUCUAUCUGUUUAUUUAAUUGAAAAUAAUGAAGUAUAUUGUAAGACACAGAUGAUCUGACAAGCUCGUACGACAGAUGUAAAUGGAGAUUAUUGGAAAUAGUUUUCCUGUGAAGAAAUCCUAAAUGAGGGUUGAGAUGAAGGCAACCAGGUGAUGGGCAGUUCAAGAUUGCUGUCGUUUGAGAAGUUAAUGAACAAAUCUUCUUUCCUGUUGCGGUUGUGAGGUACAAAAUACCCAGAGCAGGUGGCACUUACUCUGGAGUUCAUACAGAAAACUUUCCUGUGAAGAAAUCCUGAACGUGGUUUGAAAUAAAGGCAACCAAGUGGCUAUGCAUUCCUCCAAGACUCUUGCAUGAACAAUUUUGAAAAUCCAUGUAAUAUUUGAGUUUUUAAAUUGAAAGAAAUGGCACUUGCAUUAAACAGUAGUAAAAUGGGAAAUAAUCCAUCCCCUAUAAUGAAUUGCACCACUUCAAUGAUAUUUCUGUUACAAUGAACUUCAAAAUUCUGUUGUCAAGCCACUGGAGUCACAUACUUUAUACUUUUCUGGACCUUGAAAAUGGUAGUUGCAUAGACAAUCAAUAGAGGGACAGAAAGUACCCAGAUUUAACUAAAAAUACUCUUAAUUUCUGUUCUAAAAGUGAAUGUGAGUCUUAUGGGUUUGGAAUGGUAUGAGGCUGAGUAACUGACUGAAUUAACAUUUUUGUGUGAACUAUCCCUCCAAACAAUAUUGUUGUCUCUCAUAAGAAAAAAAAGUUUUGAUUCUUGACUGUUUUACAGUUUGAAGUUUAAAUUUUGUGACCACUUUUUAGUACAACACCUGUAUUGUACAGAUGCUCAUGUUUUCUUUUUUUUUUUUAAUUUUGUCUGUUACUGUUUAAAGCUAAGCUGUCUUUUACGAUACAGGCAUUUUGCCUGAGUUGACACAUUGUUAAAUUAAUUGAGUAUUUCAUAUUGUUUAGUCCUAACCCACUUAAGGCAAACAAAAGCCAUUGAAUGCACU